CAGUAGCCGCGGGAAUACGAAGGGGGCUAGCGUUGCUCGGAAUUACUGGGCGUAAAGGGCGCGUAGGCGGACAGUUCAGUCGGGGGUGAAAGCCCGGGGCUCAACCUCGGAAUUGCCUUCGAUACUGGCUGUCUUGAGUAUGAGAGAGGUGUGUGGAACUCCGAGUGUAGAGGUGAAAUUCGUAGAUAUUGGGAAGAACACCAGUGGCGAAGGCGACACACUGGCUCAUUACUGACGCUGAGGCGCGAAAGCGUGGGGAGCAAACAGGAUUAGAUACCCGCGUAGUCCCUGUCUCUUAUAC
This 301-nucleotide ribosomal RNA is filed under the name uncultured bacterium. RNAcentral's name for it is "partial 16S ribosomal RNA". It matches the Rfam family "Bacterial small subunit ribosomal RNA", at positions 509 to 807 of the family's 1533-position model. The record is from RNAcentral.